This is a long non-coding RNA of Marmota flaviventris (yellow-bellied marmot), 339 nucleotides long. RefSeq lists it as uncharacterized. The record is from RefSeq and is a predicted model, not a curated record. NCBI's taxonomy places the organism in Eukaryota, Metazoa, Chordata, Mammalia, Rodentia, Sciuridae.
AGGAGUGGAAUUGCCAAGCCAUAUGAUAACUCUACAUUUAACUUUUUGUGAACCUGUGGACAUGUUUUCCAAAGUGGCUGCACAACUUACAUUUCCAGUCAGCAACACAGGAGGCUGCCAGCAGUGUUUUUAUAUCCAUUCAUGUUGAUGCCUGUGACCAAGGCAUCUGCUAUAUGUGAUCAAGAGCUCCUUCAGAGGACAGUCAGCCCUCCACAUCUGAAGAUGUCUACAUCUGCAGAUUCAACCAAAUACAGAUUGAAUUUUUUAAAUCCAGAAAACCAAUUUGCCCCCACCAAACACUAUACUAAAUUCAUGCAAAUAAAGUGAUACAUAGAUGCA